This 201-nucleotide unclassified non-coding RNA is filed under the name Hevea brasiliensis (rubber tree). Lineage: Eukaryota; Viridiplantae; Streptophyta; Magnoliopsida; Malpighiales; Euphorbiaceae. The record is from RNAcentral.
CAACAGUAACCAAAUAAUCAUCGUCAUCAUCAAUUUCUUGCACAUCAUCGAGCGCUAGAUAACCUAUAAAAACUCCAUUUUCAAUGAUAAAAACGCAAGAAACAGGAAUCCCAUUGCCCAUACUCGAUUAUUUAUUCUCUUUCUUCCAUUAGUUUAAGCACUCGCUUUGUCUUCAAGCCUACUUUAGCUGCUAUUACAAGC